AAGUCGUAACAAGGUCUCCGUAGGUGAACCUGCGGAGGGAUCAUUACACAAAUACAAUAUGAAGGCUUCGGCUGGAUUAUUUAUUUCACCCUUGUCUUUUGCGCACUUGUUGUUUCCUGGGCGGGUUCGCCCGCCACCAGGACCACACCAUAAACCUUUUUUGUUAAUGCAGUCAGCGUCAGUACAACAAAUGUAAAUCAUUUACAACUUUCAACAACGGAUCUCUUGGUUCUG
RNAcentral lists this unclassified non-coding RNA (234 nucleotides) under Curvularia sorghina. RNAcentral describes it as "partial internal transcribed spacer region". The stretch from base 1 to 46 matches the Rfam family "Eukaryotic small subunit ribosomal RNA", at positions 1786 to 1831 of the family's 1831-position model. The record is from RNAcentral. Lineage: Eukaryota; Fungi; Ascomycota; Dothideomycetes; Pleosporales; Pleosporaceae. RNAcentral also lists the same sequence under 1 other name.